Molecule: ribosomal RNA, 497 nt
Filed under: uncultured bacterium
Lineage: Bacteria
Description: partial 16S ribosomal RNA
Rfam family: Bacterial small subunit ribosomal RNA
Source: RNAcentral
GAUGAACGCUGGCGGCGUGCCUAAUACAUGCAAGUCGAGCGAACAGACGAGGAGCUUGCUCCUCUGACGUUAGCGGCGGACGGGUGAGUAACACGUGGAUAACCUACCUAUAAGACUGGGAUAACUUCGGGAAACCGGAGCUAAUACCGGAUAAUAUAUUGAACCGCAUGGUUCAAUAGUGAAAGACGGUUUUGCUGUCACUUAUAGAUGGAUCCGCGCCGCAUUAGCUAGUUGGUAAGGUAACGACUUACCAAGGCAACGAUGCGUAGCCGACCUGAGAGGGGGAUCGGCCACACUGGAACUGGGACACGGUCCAGACUCCUACGGGAGGCAGCAGUAGGGAAUCUUCCGCAAUGGGCGAAAGCCUGACGGAGCAACGCCGCGUGAGUGAUGAAGGUCUUCGGAUCGUAAAACUCUGUUAUUAGGGAAGAACAAAUGUGUAAGUAACUAUGCACGUCUUGACGGUACCUAAUCAGAAAGCCACGGCUAACUACGUG